This is a long non-coding RNA of Meriones unguiculatus (Mongolian gerbil), 1254 nucleotides long. RefSeq lists it as uncharacterized. The transcript has 4 exons. The record is from RefSeq and is a predicted model, not a curated record. NCBI's taxonomy places the organism in Eukaryota, Metazoa, Chordata, Mammalia, Rodentia, Muridae.
CCAUUCAGCUGCUAGCCAGCUAGUGGGAAUGGAGGUACCAGGAUUCCGGGCCUUCUCCUACCCGUGUUAUUGCCUCUGCUUGCCGAGAAGAGACCUGAGAAUCUAGAAACAACAACUCAAGCUGGGGCCAAGAUCCCUAUGUAGAGACUUUGCUUUGUGGUAUCAAGAAACCAACGGUGAGAGAAGAGCAGAAGGCGGGCUGCAGGUGAGACCAGGAGCAGUACUCCAUUUCUGGGGCUAUGUCGCUGGCCCACUGCAGGUUGGGUGCUGUGAGGACCUGUGACUAGAACCUCUUGCAGGCCUGGGGCUCCAUGCCUGGAAACUCUCUGUGGGUUUUAGCAGUUCCGAGGAAGGCUUACUGCUCCCCAGCUGCAAACCAAGAAGGUAGAACACUGUGUGUCGGGAUCUCUCUAACCUAAGCACGCACCGUCACCUCCACCCCCCACCCCGGAAAGAAAAGUGAAAAGCACGGCGCUGAAUUAGUGUCCUGACACAACCCUCUGCCCAGCCUGGCCUCUGCUGCAGUUGUUUGCGAUGGAGUUGGUGUCACAACUCCUCAACUCUGUUCCACCUCACCAGAUGGCUUAGCAAGGCGAUUUAACCUUUAAACGUCGGGUGAAGUAAUGCUUAUCUCUUAGAAGUGAAAGAGAAACAAAUGAGGCAAUAGAUAUAUACCAAGGACCUUACGUACUGCCUGGCACAACCAUGAGCUCACACAUUCGCUGGAGUUAUGCCACCAUAUUGUCACUAAUGACACGACCACGAAGGCGUGAAAUCCUGGUGGCCAACAGCCUGCGCUCCUGGAUGGACAGAGACACCUUCAUCUCACCUUUGAUCUUUGCCACGUGUGAUGGUUAUUGUUAAUUGUCAGCUUGACAGAAGCUGGAAUCAGCUCAGAGGUGGACCUCUGAGCUGCUGGAUUAUUUGGAUUACAUUAUCUCCUGUGGGAAAGCCUGCAUUAAUGUUCUGCCUAUUUUGGAAUUUUGGAGGAAAAAAAAAAUACCUAAAAGGACCAGACCGUAACGAUGUAACUCUGCCUGUAAGGAUCAAAAUAUGUGUUUCCCAAAUGGCUCACCCCUUCUUCUGGCUUUCUUAUCCUCUGCACAAUUGAUACAAUCCGGCUGAGCAGAACGUGGAUGCCUAAAGAAAGGAAGCACCCCACGUCUGUCCAGACCCCAUCCUGAGUCCGAAGAGCCAAACCUCAGGCAUAUGAAUUGACUCCAUCCUUCCUCAUUCAUCCCAGUCUUCUGCCUA